This is a non-coding RNA of Macaca mulatta (Rhesus monkey), 4678 nucleotides long. The record is from RefSeq and is a predicted model, not a curated record. NCBI's taxonomy places the organism in Eukaryota, Metazoa, Chordata, Mammalia, Primates, Cercopithecidae.
CUAAUAUUUUGGUAUUUUUAGUAGAGAUGGGGUUUCACCAUGUUGACCAGGCUGGUCUCAAACUCCUGACCUCAGGUGAUCCACCUGCCUUGGCCUCCCAGAGUGCUGGGAUUACAGGCGUGAGCCACCGCUCCUGGCCUUGAAUGGAUAAAUCUUAAGGGAUAUUUUUGGAAAGGAUUUUCUAAAAAAUACCCAUGUCUCUACACUAUUGCAGAAGGGCUUUCAGUUUUGAUGGCAGCCUUUCAGGCCAGCCUACAUGCAACUAAACUUUUCCAUAACAGCAUCACACUUACACAAGAAGAAGGUUUUAUAACCCUGUUUCACUUGCCGUUAUUUAACAUAGUUCUUCCUCCUUAACAUUCAAGAUCUGAGCACGAUCAUGUUCUUCUUUUUGUUUUUGUUUUUUUUCUAAAUCAAAUUGAAGUGAGUCACCUCACCUUGGGCCAAAGUUGGACAGAAAUCUAUUCUUGGCUUUAUUCCCCACCCCUCCACCGCCUUGGAACCUUAUAGAACUUUGUGUGGUUUAGGAAAAUGAGAGCAAGGCCUCAGAUCUUCAACCCAUGACAGUUGUAUGCCCAGCUCCCUGCCUUCCUGUUUCACCCCCAGCUAGGGCACAGGACCGACUACUGUGCUCAGAGAGGUGCCAGAGCCUGUAACACCCCCAGACUUCCCAGGUCCAGCCACAUCCACCCCAGAGCCCCAAAAGAUGAUCUUCAGAGAGACCUUUAAAACACAAGCAGCUGGUCACUUCCCUCCUGACCGGAACCCAAGAUGGCUGUGGUCUCGCUGAGACAUGUUGGUCGUCAUUGCCUCCGAGCCCACUUGAGCCCUCAGCUCUGUAUCAGAAAUCCUGUUCCUUUGGGAACCAUGGCCGAAGAAGAGAUGGAGCAGUUCUGGAAUAAGAACACAGGUUCAAACUGCCCCAUAUCUCCCCACUCACUAUCUACAGUUGGUCUCUUCCCAUGGCGAUGUCCAUCUGCCACCACGGCACUGGUAUUGCUUUGGAGUGCAGGGGUCUCUCUUUUUGGCAUGUCGGCCCUGUUACUCCCUGGGAACUUUGAGUCUUACUUGGAAUGCAUGAAGUCCCUGUGUCUGGGGCCAGCACUGAUCCACACAGCUAAGUUUGCACUCGUCUUCCCUCUCAUGUAUCAUCCCUGGAAUGGGAUCUGACACUUGAUGUGGGACCUAGGAAAAGGCCUGAAGAUUCCCCAGCUAUACCAGUCUGGAGUGGUUGUCCUGGUUCUUACUGUGUAAGGCUGUAGGGCUGGCAGCCACGUGAAGAACAGAGACUCCGAGCGUCAUCUUCUUACACAUUAUUAUAUUCACCCAUCUUUCUGUUUGUCACUCUUAUCUCCAGCGUUGGAAAAGUUCUCCUUAUUUGUUAGAUCCUUUUGCACUUUCAGAUCCCCUUGGAGCAGUAGAGCACCUUGUAGAGCUAACAGUGGAAAAGGGCCUAGUUUUUCCCUUGUUUCUAAAGAUGGGGUGGCUGAAAAAUUUCCCCUUUUUUGCCCACAGCUUGCCUCCUCUGGGCCUAGAAGCAGUUAUUCUCUCUCCAUAUUGGGCUUUGAUUUGUGCUGAGGGUCAGCUUUUGGCUCCUUCCUCCUGAGACAGUGGAAACAAUGCCAGCUCUGUGGCUUCUGCCGUGGGGGCUGGGGGUGAGGCUUUGGGUGCCACUGCCUGUGGGUUGCUGGCUUAAAGGACAAUUCUGUUCAUUGGUGAGAGCCCAGGUCAUUAACACCUACGCAGUGUUAUUGAAAGAAGAGAGGCAGAGGUGGAGGGGAGUUAGUCUAUCCCAGCUAGAGGGAGAUAAAGAGGGCUAGUUAGUUCUUGGAGCAGCUACUUUGAGGAGAAAAUGUAUAGCUUUUGACACAAGAGGAAGAUCCAGUAAAUUAUCAUUGAACAUAUUAAAGGUUAUUUCUUUUUCUUACAAAACACACACACACGCACACACGCACGCAGCUGAUGAUUCCAUUUUCCCAGCCCCGGCCCUGAAGGGGACCCAGAACUCUCUGCACAAAGGCCGUCCUUCAAGGGGAGGGUGAAAGAAAUGGAAAAUCACAUUUUCAUUCUUUAGCGUCUCCAUACAACAGCCAGAACUGGGCGGAAGCUAAUUAUAUCAGAAGCAUACUCCAUGUUGCUGCAUCAGCUUUGGGAUGUUCAUUUUUAAAUUUAUUUAUAGCUUGUCUCGUUCCUCAAAGGAGUUCAGGCAGCUACAAAAAUAAAGACAAUAAAAUUGAAAAAAAAUUAAAUUAAAAAAAUCAUGACCAGGGAAAACGUGCAAUAGAAUGAAGUGUCAAUUAUUACAUUUUCUGACUGCAAAAUCUCCUCCGCAGCUGAUGCACCAUCAUUUACUAAAACAGCCCCUCUUGUUGGACAUUUCCAGUUCAUUUCGUCUGGGGUGGUUUGUUGCUGUUGCUGUGGUUGUGGUUUUGUUUUAUUGAAUUUUGUGUUAGCUGCAGCUAAUACCAUCUAGCUGAUGGCUUUGUGCUGCUCUUGAAUGAUUACUCAGGAUAAAUUCCCUGGAGACGGAUUAUAGGAUCAGAAGGUCUGAACUUCUGUGUGGCUCUAGCUACAAAGCACCAGACUGCUUUCCAAGAGCAUUGUAGCAAUUUAUAAUCCAACACUCAGACUAUUUUUUGGCUGAGAGUCAAGUCCCAGAAUGCGAAGGAGGGGGUCUUGGCCUGGAGCGGAGGCUGAGGGAUGGGUGCACAGGACCCCUCCUUAUUGGUUAUUUAUGGGGAUGGGCCAGGAGGAGCAGAAGAGACGCCCCUGCCCUCCCAGUUGCUCCUUGGAGUGACUGGCCCUAUAGGGGAGGGGCAAAGCUACCUCACAUUUAGAGUUAUAUAGUUGUUGAUGGUCAAGGUCCUAGGUCUAAUGGGCAUCCUUCUCCCUCUCCUCCUCGGCCAGUAAUGGCUACACUAUGUCCUAUGUCCCAGAUCUGGGUCCCUUAUGCUAUGGGAACACCAAUAAUAUUUACACUGUCUCCUGGCAGAAACAGUGCAGGAGGGCUGUGGCAUGGUAGUGGGCCCUGGAAACCAUCCAGCCUUCAUGAGGAAGAGCAGUUAAAGCACAGCCAUGUAUGAUGUUGGUAUUGAUUAAAAGCCUUAUGGGCAGAUAAAUUUGCCAUCUGCCAGGGCCUCAGCCAUAUAAGGGCUCCAGCCAUACAUCCUCCAGGAGACUGGGACCUCUCCAAUUGCAGGAGCCUUGCCUUCCCCAUCAGAUCAGGAAUUAUCCAAGGAUGGGGACAAUGUCCUUCCCAUCUGCUUGAGAACUCCUAAGGGGCAUGUUCUCUGUCUCCCCAUUGUAUCUGGAACUUCCUGGGAGCAUAGCUCCUGUCUGCUUCCUCAGACUGGAAACCCCCUUAGGGCAGAGGCCAUGUCCUUCUACCCACUUGGGGUUCCCUGAAGUUGGGGGCCACAUCUCUGAUAUACAAUGCUUUGUAUGUACUGACUGCUGCAGGAUUCUUGGAGUAAAUGGGCAGUCAACUUCUUGGAAUGGUGUUGACCAUCUGGACUUCAUCAGAUUGUCCAAGACUUCGCCAUUCACUAGACAGGGGCCAUGUGCACAGGCAGAGCCCUGGCCUCUGGCUUCUGGCUCCUGACUCCUGGUCCCUUUGCUUUAAUUUGGCUAAUGGCAGAACCAGACUCCUUUCUGGGCUGCCCUGGAAGAGGAUCCUUGAAUGAAGGAGGAUAGGAUGGGAAGGUGGCAGCUGGCAUGCUUGCCUCUUAUGCCAUGGGGGGGCUGCUCUCUCUGGAAAUUUAGGCCUGAGUUCAGGGCACUGUUGAGCAUUUCACACCCCAGGCCAGAGGAGGGGUGAGUGUGGAGCAGGGCUCAGCUAGUAGCCCAUGAGGUAUGAUGUGUAGGCAGCACCCGGGCCUCACAGAGCCUGUUACCCAUGUUAUCUCCUCUGACCUUGGAAAGAGCUGGGGUGUAUGAACAAGAAUUUAUAAAGUUACAAAAAUCAGAUGAGGAAACUGAGACAUGGGGAAGGUAAAUGACAUGCCCUAGGUUACACAACUUAUAAGUAACAGGGAUUCUGCCCUUCUCUCACACCAAGUCCCACUCUCUUUGCUUCUUGAAGUCCCUGUGACUGAUCUAAAGGCCGCAAGUUUAACAGAAUAAGGAGGGGGGCUCUGUUGCCGCAAACCAGUUGCCCCACCUGCACACAGACUCUAAGGGACAUCCUGCUUUAAGCUGUCCUUAGUUACUAAUACCUUAGAGCGAAUGAGUUUGAAAUUUUCUCAAGAGCCAUGGGAGAUUAGGAAGCCUCUAAGCUUCAUAGAGAGCCUGGCUUGGGGGACACAGGAGCCAAAGGCAGAGGAAGAAGUGGCAGCUUGGUGCCCCCAGAAACACAUGCUUCUGACCUCACAGUUGGCCACAGACAGCCAACUCUCCCAUCCUUCUCCCACCACUUUCCCAUGGGGCUAACUUCACCCUGUUCACACACAGUGACUUAACAGCUUAAGCCCCAGAUUUGGGGGCCGGGGUACCUGGGACAAGAGUCCUGAGGGAAACAGGGUGAGGAACUGGAGGUGCCACAGGGCUAGAAUUCUGCCCCUAGCCUACCGGAGCUGUGCCCCACAGGCUGGCACCACUGGGCUGUGCUGCCUCCAGCCACCCAGGGCAUCUCCAUGUGUAGCUGUCACCCUCCUCCUGCUAAACUCAUACCUGUGCUUCC